UCGGGAAUUUUGGGCAAUGGGCGAAAGCCUGACCCAGCAACGCCGCGUGAGGGAUGAAGUAUUUCGGUAUGUAAACCUCGAAAGAAUGGGAAGAAUAAAUGACGGUACCAUUUAUAAGCUCCGGCUAACUACGUGCCAGCAGCCGCGGUAAUACGUAGGGAGCAAGCGUUGUUCGGAUUUACUGGGCGUAAAGGGCGCGUAGGCGGCGCGGUAAGUCACUUGUGAAAUCUCUGAGCUUAACUCAGAACGGCCAAGUGAUACUGCUGUGCUAGAGUGCGGAAGAGGCAACCGGAAUUCUUGGUGUAGCGGUGAAAUGCGUAGAUAUCAGGAGGAACACCUGAGGCGAAGGCGGGUUGCUGGGCAGACACUGACGCUGAUGCGCGAAAGCCAGGGGAGCAAAC
This 401-nucleotide ribosomal RNA is filed under the name uncultured bacterium. RNAcentral's name for it is "bacterial SSU rRNA". It matches the Rfam family "Bacterial small subunit ribosomal RNA", at positions 355 to 773 of the family's 1533-position model. The record is from RNAcentral.